RNAcentral lists this ribosomal RNA (253 nucleotides) under uncultured bacterium. Its description in RNAcentral is "partial 16S ribosomal RNA". It matches the Rfam family "Bacterial small subunit ribosomal RNA", at positions 524 to 776 of the family's 1533-position model. The record is from RNAcentral.
UACAGAGGUCCCAAGCGUUGUUCGGAUUCACUGGGCGUAAAGGGUGCGUAGGCGGUCGGGUAAGUCUGACGUGAAAUCUUCAAGCUCAACUUGGAAACUGCGUCGGAUACUAUUCGGCUAGAGGAAUGGAGGGGAGACUGGAAUACUUGGUGUAGCAGUGAAGUGCGUAGAUAUCAAGUGGAACACCAGUGGCGAAGGCGAGUCUCUGGACAUUUCCUGACGCUGAGGCACGAAAGCCAGGGGAGCAAACGGG